UCUUGAAAUAGCGGGAAUUUCAUAUUCCUCUGUUUUUUGUUUGAAAAGCUCGAUUUUUUUUUAAAUAAUAGAAGCCAAAAGGCCUUGGAUUCUCUCAGUAAUUCAGCAAUGAAGUCAUGGGAUUUUGACAUAUUGGUCCUUUCUCAGUCCAAUCCCAACGCAGCCCUCUUUUUUAUAAAAUUAUAUUUUUAUGACCUACUUAUUUAUAAAUGAGACAAAGUAGUCCUUGUUGUCUAGUUAGUAACUAAUUUUGUUGAUUCUUUAUAUUUAAAUGGUAAUUAUACUGUUAACGUAUUCUAUCAUUAUGACAUGGAGUGUGGAUAUGUGGAUCAUUGGAGUUUGUAUUUUUUUAACAUAAAAAAGUUACAUUGUAUUAUAUAACACAAAGAUAUGAAGGGAGUUAUUCUUUAAUUGAACAACAAGGAUUACUCUGUCCCAUUUAUAAUAAACUACAGUCCUAAUUAGUGUUUCAUGUAAAAAGAGGACCAUUAUAGAAAAGAGACUAAUCCAUAAAAAUCUCACGAACGGCCAACAGUGAACUACCAUUGAUAGAAAAGAGAAAUCACAGAACCUUUUUCCUGUUCUCCUUUGUGCUCUCUAUUUCAUAUCCAACUACAAGUGAUUUUUACAUAUUACAUAUAUGAAAAAAUGAUUAGAAAUUUGUUUUUAUAUAAUUUUCUGAGUUUCUUUUGAACUCUUGUUGAAUUUGACCAUUUUUCCUGAAUUAUGAUAUAUUUGACCUUGUCAAAUUGUUCCUGAAUGUUGAACUUGUGACUAUGCUUGGACUCGCUUCCUUAUGUUUCUAACCCACUUUCAUGUAAGCAUCAUCGAUCACUUCCAUAUUUCAUAAAAAACUUCUUUUGUUCUUUAAAAUUUUUCCUUUUAGGAUCUAUGUAUCAUUGUCUUCUAAGACUCAAAAAGCACCAUUCUAUUUUAGUAUUGUGUACAACAACAAAUUAUACUUUAUUAUUAAAUACUUUAUUGCUUUAAUAAUAUUUGGUACAACUUUAUAGGCAGAUGCACUGUAGGUAACCAUGCUUCUUCAUUCUUUAUUUUCUUGUUCCUUUUCUCUUUUUUUCCUCUUUUUUGUUGUCUGAAGUUUCCUGCUUCUUCUAGGAUCGCUGAAGAUCAAGGAUUUAAAUUCUGGGCGUAUUGGCUAGUGUGUACUCAAUAGCCAGAAAUCAGUA
This 1187-nucleotide long non-coding RNA is filed under the name Phoenix dactylifera (date palm). Its description in RNAcentral is "long non-coding RNA (PDAC_LNC015515)". The record is from RNAcentral. Lineage: Eukaryota; Viridiplantae; Streptophyta; Magnoliopsida; Arecales; Arecaceae.